This 492-nucleotide ribosomal RNA is filed under the name uncultured bacterium. RNAcentral's name for it is "partial 16S ribosomal RNA". It matches the Rfam family "Bacterial small subunit ribosomal RNA", at positions 30 to 507 of the family's 1533-position model. The record is from RNAcentral.
AGUGAACGCUGGCGGUAGGCUUAACACAUGCAAGUCGAAGGGCAGGCCAGUCAUAGCUUGCUUUUACGGGUGGCGAGUGGCGGACGGGCGUGGAAUACAUCGGCAUCUACCUUUUCGAGGAGGAUAACGUAGGGGAACUUACGCUAAUACCGCAUACGACCUACGGGUGAGAGCAGGGGAACUUCGGACUUUGCGCGAUCGAAUGAGCCUAUGUCGGUUUAGCUAGUGGGCGGGGUAACGGCACACCUAGGCGGGGACCCGUAGCUGGACUGAGAGGAUGAUCGGCCACACUGGAGCUGGGACACGGUCAAGAGGCCUACGAGAGGCAGCAGUGGGGAAUAUGGGACAAUGGGGGGAAGCAUGAUGCAGCAAGGCGGCGUGGGUGAAGAAGGCCUUCGGUUUGUAAAGCCAUUGUGUUGGGAAUGAAAAGCAGUAGCAUAAGACAACGCUGUAAUGACGGUACCCGAAGAAGAAGCACCGGCUAACUUCGUG